Molecule: long non-coding RNA, 311 nt
Organism: Oxyura jamaicensis (ruddy duck)
Lineage: Eukaryota; Metazoa; Chordata; Aves; Anseriformes; Anatidae
Exons: 2
Source: RefSeq, a predicted model, not a curated record
CCGGGGCCACCGGCCCCCAUGGAGCACUGAGCGGCCCCCGCGGACGCCCCCAGUGAUCCUGACCCCAAACAUCAGAUCCUGACUCCAAACAUCAAGACCCAGACCCCAAAACUCGGAAUUCUGACCUCAAACAUCAAGAUCCUGGCCCUAAACAUCGGAAUUCAGACCCUAAACCUCGGAUCCUGACCCCAAGCAUCUGAAUUUUGACCUCAAGCAUCGAAAUCCUGACCCCAAACCUCGGAUCCUGACCCCAAACCUCGGAUCCUGACCCCAAACCUCGGAGUUCUGACCCCAAACCUCGGAUCCUGACC